UGGGGAAUUGUUCGCAAUGGGCGCAAGCCUGACGACGCAACGCCGCGUGGAGGAUGAAGGUCUUCGGAUUGUAAACUCCUGUUGCCAGGGACGAAAAGCUCCGACCUAACACGUCGGAGUCUGACGGUACCUGGUGAGGAAGCCCCGGCUAACUCUGUGCCAGCAGCCGCGGUAAUACAGAGGGGGCUAGCGUUGUUCGGAAUUACUGGGCGUAAAGGGCGCGUAGGCGGCCCGCUAAGUCGAACGUGAAAUCCCCGGGCUCAACCCGGGAACUGCGUCCGAUACUGGCAGGCUUGAAUCCGGGAGAGGGAUGUGGAAUUCCAGGUGUAGCGGUGAAAUGCGUAGAUAUCUGGAGGAACACCGGUGGCGAAGGCGGCAUCCUGGACCGGUAUUGACGCUGAGGCGCGAAAGCCAGGGGAGCAAACGGG
RNAcentral lists this ribosomal RNA (428 nucleotides) under Bacillota bacterium. Its description in RNAcentral is "Firmicutes bacterium partial 16S ribosomal RNA". It matches the Rfam family "Bacterial small subunit ribosomal RNA", at positions 355 to 776 of the family's 1533-position model. The record is from RNAcentral. Lineage: Bacteria; Bacillati; Bacillota.